AACGAACGCCGGCGGCAGGCUUAACACAUGCAAGUCGAACGAUGAAGUCUAGCUUGCUAGAUGGAUUAGUGGCGCACGGGUGAGUAACACGUGGAAAUCUGCCCUUGGGUACGGAAUAGCUCCGGGAAACUGGAAAUAAUACCGUAUGAUGUCUUCGGACCAAAGAUUUAUCGCCCAAGGAUGAGCCCGCGUCUGAUUAGGUAGUUGGUGGGGUAAUGGCCUACCAAGCCGACGAUCAGUAGCUGGUCUGAGAGGAUGAUCAGCCACACUGGGACUGAGACACGGCCCAGACUCCUACGGGAGGCAGCAGUGGGGAAUCUGGGACAAUGGGGGAAACCCUGAUCCAGCCAUGCCGCGUGAGUGAAGAAGGCCUUAGGGUUGUAAAGCUCUUUUAAUCGGGAAGAUAAUGACGGUACCGAUAGAAUAAGCACCGGCUAACUUCGUGCCAGCCGCCGCGGUAA
RNAcentral lists this ribosomal RNA (461 nucleotides) under uncultured bacterium. RNAcentral describes it as "partial 16S ribosomal RNA". It matches the Rfam family "Bacterial small subunit ribosomal RNA", at positions 29 to 523 of the family's 1533-position model. The record is from RNAcentral.